CGGCAGGCCUAACACAUGCAAGUCGACGGUAACAGGAAGAAGACUUGCUCUUUGCUGACGAGUGGCGGACGGGUGAGUAAUGUCUGGGAAACUGCCUGAUGAGGGGGAGUAACUACUGGAAACGGUAGCUAAUACCGCAUAACGUCGCAAGACCAAAGAGGGGGACCUUCGGGCCUCUUGCCAUCGGAUGUGCCCAGAUGGGAUUAGCUAGUAGGUGGGGUAACGGCUCACCUAGGCGACGAUCCCCUAGCUGGUCUGAGAGGAUGACCAGCCACACUGGAACUGAGACACGGUCCAGACUCCUACGGGAGGCAGCAGUGGGGAAUAUUGCACAAUGGGCGCAAGCCUGAUGCAGCCAUGCCGCCGUGUGUGAAGAAGGCCUUCGGGUUGUAAAGUACUUUCAGCGGGGAGGAAGGGAGUAAAGUUAAUACCUUUGCUCAUUGACGUUACCCGCAGAAGAAGCACCGGCUAACUCCGUGCCAGCCGCAGC
This 490-nucleotide ribosomal RNA is filed under the name uncultured bacterium. Its description in RNAcentral is "bacterial SSU rRNA". It matches the Rfam family "Bacterial small subunit ribosomal RNA", at positions 40 to 518 of the family's 1533-position model. The record is from RNAcentral.